This 1359-nucleotide ribosomal RNA is filed under the name Campylobacter jejuni. RNAcentral's name for it is "partial 23S ribosomal RNA". It matches the Rfam family "Bacterial large subunit ribosomal RNA", at positions 1577 to 2925 of the family's 2925-position model. Lineage: Bacteria; Pseudomonadati; Campylobacterota; Epsilonproteobacteria; Campylobacterales; Campylobacteraceae. The record is from RNAcentral.
GAUGGAUAGAAGAACCCCUGAUGCCGUCGAGCCAAGAAAAGUUUCUAAGUUUAGCUAAUGUUGCCCGUACCGUAAACCGACACAGGUGGGUGGGAUGAGUAUUCUAAGGCGCGUGGAAGAACUCUCUUUAAGGAACUCUGCAAAAUAGCACCGUAUCUUCGGUAUAAGGUGUGGUUAGCUUCGUACUAGGAUUUACUCCGAAAGCGAAGAAACUUACAACAAAGAGUCCCUCCCGACUGUUUACCAAAAACACAGCACUCUGCUAACUCGUAAGAGGAUGUAUAGGGUGUGACGCCUGCCCGGUGCUCGAAGGUUAAUUGAUGGGGUUAGCAUUAGCGAAGCUCUUGAUCGAAGCCCGAGUAAACGGCGGCCGUAACUAUAACGGUCCUAAGGUAGCGAAAUUCCUUGUCGGUUAAAUACCGACCUGCAUGAAUGGCGUAACGAGAUGGGAGCUGUCUCAAAGAGGGAUCCAGUGAAAUUGUAGUGGAGGUGAAAAUUCCUCCUACCCGCGGCAAGACGGAAAGACCCCGUGGACCUUUACUACAGCUUGACACUGCUACUUGGAUAAGAAUGUGCAGGAUAGGUGGGAGGCUUUGAGUAUAUGACGCCAGUUGUAUAUGAGCCAUUGUUGAGAUACCACUCUUUCUUAUUUGGGUAGCUAACCAGCUUGAGUUAUCCUCAAGUGGGACAAUGUCUGGUGGGUAGUUUGACUGGGGCGGUCGCCUCCCAAAUAAUAACGGAGGCUUACAAAGGUUGGCUCAGAACGGUUGGAAAUCGUUCGUAGAGUAUAAAGGUAUAAGCCAGCUUAACUGCAAGACAUACAAGUCAAGCAGAGACGAAAGUCGGUCUUAGUGAUCCGGUGGUUCUGUGUGGAAGGGCCAUCGCUCAAAGGAUAAAAGGUACCCCGGGGAUAACAGGCUGAUCUCCCCCAAGAGCUCACAUCGACGGGGAGGUUUGGCACCUCGAUGUCGGCUCAUCGCAUCCUGGGGCUGGAGCAGGUCCCAAGGGUAUGGCUGUUCGCCAUUUAAAGCGGUACGCGAGCUGGGUUCAGAACGUCGUGAGACAGUUCGGUCCCUAUCUGCCGUGGGCGUAAGAAGAUUGAAGAGAUUUGACCCUAGUACGAGAGGACCGGGUUGAACAAACCACUGGUGUAGCUGUUGUUCUGCCAAGAGCAUCGCAGCGUAGCUAAGUUUGGAAAGGAUAAACGCUGAAAGCAUCUAAGCGUGAAGCCAACUCUAAGAUGAAUCUUCUCUAAGCUCUCUAGAAGACUACUAGUUUGAUAGGCUGGGUGUGUAAUGGAUGAAAGUCCUUUAGCUGACCAGUACUAAUAGAGCGUUUGGCUUAUCUUUAAUAAAGCAU